GAAUGCUGACAUAAGUAACGAUAAAGCGGGUGAAAAGCCCGCUCGCCGGAAGACCAAGGGUUCCUGUCCAACGUUAAUCGGGGCAGGGUGAGUCGACCCCUAAGGCGAGGCCGAAAGGCGUAGUCGAUGGGAAACGGGUUAAUAUUCCCGUACUUGGUGUUACUGCGAAGGGGGGACGGAGAAGGCUAUGUUGGCCGGGCGACGGUUGUCCCGGUUUAAGCGUGUAGGUGUGUGUUCCAGGUAAAUCCGGUUCACUUUAACACUGAGGCGUGAUGACGAGGCACU
This 285-nucleotide ribosomal RNA is filed under the name Salmonella enterica subsp. enterica serovar Derby. Its description in RNAcentral is "partial 23S ribosomal RNA". It matches the Rfam family "Bacterial large subunit ribosomal RNA", at positions 1292 to 1578 of the family's 2925-position model. Lineage: Bacteria; Pseudomonadati; Pseudomonadota; Gammaproteobacteria; Enterobacterales; Enterobacteriaceae. The record is from RNAcentral. RNAcentral also lists the same sequence under 2 other names.